This 253-nucleotide ribosomal RNA is filed under the name uncultured bacterium. RNAcentral describes it as "partial 16S ribosomal RNA". It matches the Rfam family "Bacterial small subunit ribosomal RNA", at positions 524 to 776 of the family's 1533-position model. The record is from RNAcentral.
GACGAACCGUGCGAACGUUGUUCGGAAUCACUGGGCUUCAAGGGCGCGUAGGCGGCUUGCCAAGUCCGGGGUGAAAUCCUCCAGCUUAACUGGAGAAGUGCCUUGGAUACUGGCGAGCUCGAGUGAGGUAGGGGCCGUUGGAACUUCCGGUGGAGCGGUGAAAUGCGUUGAUAUCGGAAGGAACGCCGGUGGCGAAAGCGAACGGCUGGACCUCUUCUGACGCUGAGGCGCGAAAGCUAGGGGAGCGAACGGG